Molecule: ribosomal RNA, 285 nt
Filed under: uncultured bacterium
Lineage: Bacteria
Description: partial 16S ribosomal RNA
Rfam family: Bacterial small subunit ribosomal RNA
Source: RNAcentral
ACUCCUACGGGAGGCAGCAGUGGGGAAUAUUGGUCAAUGGGCGCAAGCCUGAACCAGCCAUGCCGCGUGCAGGAAGACUGCCUUAUGGGUUGUAAACUGCUUUUAUAUGGGAAGAAACCCCUCUACGUGUAGAGGCUUGACGGUUACCAUAAGAAUAAGCACCGGCUAACUCCGUGCCAGCAGCCGCGGUAAUACGGAGGGUGCAAGCGUUAUCCGGAAUCAUUGGGUUUAAAGGGUCCGCAGGCGGUCAAUUAAGUCAGAGGUGAAAUCCUAUAGCUUAACUAU